Molecule: non-coding RNA, 86 nt
Organism: Westerdykella ornata
Lineage: Eukaryota; Fungi; Ascomycota; Dothideomycetes; Pleosporales; Sporormiaceae
Source: the annotation of a RefSeq genome assembly
GGUGGGAUAGUCUAGUGGUAAGAUCAUCUGGUAGCAUCAUAUGCUAGGGCAUAUGAAGGUCAUGGGUUCGAUUCCCACAGCCAUCA